Long non-coding RNA from Helianthus annuus (common sunflower), 683 nucleotides. RefSeq lists it as uncharacterized. The record is from RefSeq and is a predicted model, not a curated record. Lineage: Eukaryota; Viridiplantae; Streptophyta; Magnoliopsida; Asterales; Asteraceae. The transcript has 6 exons.
GAGCAUGACAUACUCCAGUUAAAUCGCGACCUUUGUUUGGCACAAGUAACAUGACAUACUCCAGCUCAACUGUUAAUUAAUCUGUAGAUUGACUCAUUUUCAAUGUCAAAUGCUGCACUUCCAAGGAGCAUUAAGGAUCAUGAGUGAAUUAUAUGGCUGGGUGACCUUAAUUACCGCUUUAAUUUGUCGUACGAGGAAACAUGCGAUUUGAUUUCCAAAAAUGCAUUGCUAGAGAGUGAUCAACUAAGACUAGGAGGUGUGUUUGACGGGUAGACAGAAGGCGCAUUAAAUUUUCCACUGACUUACAAAUACGAGCCGAAUUCAGAUAAAUAUUAUGGCGAGGAUCCUAGAGUUGAAAGGCGUACGCCCACAUGGGGUUGAUGUUGGGCACCAGUUCUUUUCACCAUGUGACAUGGUUACUGUAGGUUUUCAUAACCACUGGCUCAGUGGAAUUGAUUACAUUGGGGCAAGUUUUCAACAGGUGUGGUUUCCAGCAACGGAACCGUUGGAUGUCAUGUCGGCAAACAGGGGUGGUUUGCGCGGUGGAAAGAGAUAGUUAGAUACCCGGAAAGGGUUGGUGAAGUUGGGAGGGUAAUCGGGUGAGGUCGGAGACGGGUGAGACUUCGGGUCAACUGUGGUUAACGCAAGUAAACCGAGUCAGAUUUGGUGCUUUAAGAUUUCAA